GACGAACGCUGGCGGCGUGCUUAACACAUGCAAGUCGAGCGGAAAGGCCACUUCGGUGGUACUCGAGCGGCGAACGGGUGAGUAACACGUGAGUAAUCUGCCCCCCACUUUGGGAUAGCCACCGGAAACGGUGAUUAAUACCGGAUAUGACCUGAUGCCGCAUGGUGUUGGGUGGAAAGUUUUUCGGUGGGGGAUGUGCUCGCGGCCUAUCAGCUUGAUGGUGGGGUAAUGGCCUACCAUGGCUUCGACGGGUAGCCGGCCUGAGAGGGUGACCGGCCACACUGGGACUGAGACACGGCCCAGACUCCUACGGGAGGCAGCAGUGGGGAAUAUUGGACAAUGGGCGGAAGCCUGAUCCAGCAACGCCGCGUGAGGGAUGACGGCCUUCGGGUUGUAAACCUCUUUCAGUACCGACGAAGCGAAAGUGACGGUAGGUACAGAAGAAGCACCGGCCAACUACGUGCCAGCCGCCGCCGUAAAAC
This 482-nucleotide ribosomal RNA is filed under the name uncultured bacterium. Its description in RNAcentral is "bacterial SSU rRNA". It matches the Rfam family "Bacterial small subunit ribosomal RNA", at positions 28 to 526 of the family's 1533-position model. The record is from RNAcentral.